UCCUUGCAGUUGGUUUGUUGCGAGGUUCUGUACAGAAACAACCGGGUCACACUUCCCAGCGGGAUGAUGUCGGCGGUUUCACUCAGUCUGUUCCUGGCGUUAAUAGUCCGUGUCCAUUCCGAUGUCGUUCUCACUCAGCCCAAGACAGGGACCGCCACUCCUGGAGGCUCCAUCACACUGAACUGUAAAACCAGCGGGUCCACUCUUAGCAGCGACUAUAUGUAUUUGGUCCGUCAGGUCCCCGGGCAGGGGCUGGAGUGGCUGCUUGCCUACCGCACGCCGUCUCACACCAAGUACUUCGCUCCGGGGAUAGAGAGCCGAUUUACUCCGUCCACAGACAAUUCGAAUAAUAUGUUCACCGUGAUCGCCAGGAACCUGAGGAUCGAAGACACCGCUGUCUAUUACUGUGCGAAAUGGGGUCACGGUGCUGCAAACAGCGACUUCCCCGUACAAAAACCUGGACACCUAGUUGUAUCCUGCUCCAACCUACAAGCACCGUAGGAGAGGCCGUGUGAA
Molecule: non-coding RNA, 516 nt
Organism: Amblyraja radiata (thorny skate)
Lineage: Eukaryota; Metazoa; Chordata; Chondrichthyes; Rajiformes; Rajidae
Source: the annotation of a RefSeq genome assembly